GAUGAACGCUGGCGGCGUGCUUAACACAUGCAAGUCGAACGAAGCACCUUGAUUAGAUUCUUCGGAUGAAGAGCGUGGUGCCUGAGUGGCGGACGGGUGAGGAACGCGUGGGUAACCUGCCUCAUACAGGGGGAUAACAGGGAGGAAUGACUGCUAAUACCGCAUAAGAACACAGCACCGCAUGGUGCAGGGGUAAAAACUCCGGUGGUAUGAGAUGGACCCGCGUCUGAUUAGGUAGUUGGUGGGGUAACGGCCUACCAAGCCGACGAUCAGUAGCCGACCUGAGAGGGUGCCCGGCCACCUUGGGACUGAGACACGGCCCCAACUCCUACGGGACGCAGCCGUGGGGAAUAUUGCACAAUGGGGGAAACCCUGAUGCAGCGACGCCGCGUGAGCGAUGAAGUCUUUCGGUAUGUAAAGCUCUAUCAGCAGGGAAGACAAUGACGGUACCUGACUAAGAAGCACCGGCUAAAUACGUG
RNAcentral lists this ribosomal RNA (479 nucleotides) under uncultured bacterium. RNAcentral's name for it is "partial 16S ribosomal RNA". It matches the Rfam family "Bacterial small subunit ribosomal RNA", at positions 28 to 507 of the family's 1533-position model. The record is from RNAcentral.